GUGGCACACUGACAUAAUUGCAGCACAGCAAAAACAGACCCAACUUGAUGGUAUUUAACUACCAUGACGAGCAGCGUGUACACAUCACAGCUGGUCGCAGAGGUGAGCAGAGUGGCUGGAGCUUUGUGUGCAGAGCAGCAUUGCUCCGUACGCCAUGUCGUCUCGAUUGUAAACAGGAGCUGCAAAAUGGAGCCAGGGUGCUCAAAAUGGAGAACCACGCAUUCGCUCCGGAGAGGUGUUCACUGAGCUUGUGCUGUGACCUCAGCCUGCACGUACAGCGUCGCAAGCUCGGCUCACUUCUCCAUAGACACUACUGAGCAUGUGCUGCGACCUCACACAAGCACACACACGUACAGCAACACACAGAGGCAGACAGACACGCAUGCAGGAUACGGAAUUCAUCUCUCCUCGUAUGUCUGCGCCAUAAUAAACAAGAGUGAAAUUGCAAGGCUGCAGACAGCCCGCUCAGAAUACCAAACAGAGAAGCAGAGGAGGGAGGGAGGGGAAAGAACUGCGCCCUGAAGAAGGGGGUUCUCAACUGGCAACCCUUGUUGCCAAAAACAAGGACAGCUAUCAUGGCAACACGUGAGAGACCCCAAACACCACCAGUGGAUAACAACACAAAUUUCUCUUGAGCACUUAAAUUAAUUCAACAGUUCAUCAUUUAAACCAACAAGUCCUUUAGACACAUUUUUUUCCUAGUGGGAACAUCUUGACCAAAGUGGGGCAACAAAUGUAAAAAAUGAUGCCUUGAUAUUUACCAUUGUCUUGCAGCACAACAAACUACAAUGGACUAAAAUGUUAUCUAGUGUACUUUGGCAUUUAAACCAUAAUAUGUUUUAAUGUGUAAUACCUAUCAGUUGGUCUUGAGAGUUCAUGACACUUAUCACAAAGGCUAUUUAAUCAUUUGCCAUCUUGGCCAGAUGUGCAGAUAUAACCAACAACUUAUUAAAAGUUUUUUAAAUCACAAGUCAAUUUUUCAGCAUAUCAACACCAACAUUACAACUGUGGGGAAACAUUAAUUUCAGUAUAAUAGAGAAUGU
Molecule: long non-coding RNA, 1043 nt
Organism: Etheostoma cragini (Arkansas darter)
Lineage: Eukaryota; Metazoa; Chordata; Actinopteri; Perciformes; Percidae
Exons: 2
Source: RefSeq, a predicted model, not a curated record